UUGCUCAAACAACGUCAGAAUUUCGCAAACAGAUAGUCGAUUCGAAGAGAAAUAAAAGACGGAUAGAAUAAGGGACUCACUCCCUACGGACUCACUCCGGUCGACGCGAAAUCGCGAAGGAAAACAUCAGAGAACCUUUCUCGAAAAAGUGGAAUUUCAUAAUAAUUAAUGUCUGUCUCAUACAGAUGGUCGGGGUCAAUUUAUAGAAUUUUCUACUAACAACUUGAAACAAACUAAUAACCAACUGAUAACCGGUCUUAUCUAAUACCAAUAUUCAAGCAAAUCUAAAAAUCUAAAACAUAAAAUAAUAUCUCAAUAACUAUAAUAUCUAAACCUAUCCUCAUGCAAAUUCGGCUCGACCUCAAGUCGCACUCAAUGUUUGAAUC
Molecule: long non-coding RNA, 386 nt
Filed under: Ananas comosus (pineapple)
Lineage: Eukaryota; Viridiplantae; Streptophyta; Magnoliopsida; Poales; Bromeliaceae
Description: long non-coding RNA (ACOM_LNC042066)
Source: RNAcentral